CGAACGCUGGCGGCGUGCUUAACACAUGCAAGUCGAACGAGGACUAGAGUGCUUGCACUCUAUAGCCGAGUGGCGAACGGGUGAGUAACACGUGACCAACCUAUCUACAGGCGGGGGACAACCUGGGGAAACCUGGACUAAUACCGCAUGAUGUCCAUACUUCGCAUGAAGUUUGGACCAAAGAGGGCCUCUACAUGUAAGCUCUCAUCUGUUGAGGGGGUCGCGGCGUAUCAGCUUGUUGGUGAGGUAAUGGCUCACCAAGGCUACGACGCGUAGCGGGUCUGAGAGGACGAUCCGUCACAUUGGGACUGAGAUACGGCCCAGACUCCUACGGGAGGCAGCAGUGGGGAAUAUUGCGCAAUGGACGAAAGUCUGACGCAGCGACGCCGCGUGUGGGAGGAAGCCUUUCGGGGUGUAAACCACUGUCAGGGGGGAAGAAAACCGGGUACCUGAAUAGGGUGCCCGAUUGACGGUACCUCCAAAGGAAGCGCCGGCUAACUCC
Molecule: ribosomal RNA, 502 nt
Filed under: uncultured bacterium
Lineage: Bacteria
Description: bacterial SSU rRNA
Rfam family: Bacterial small subunit ribosomal RNA
Source: RNAcentral